UACGAACGGUCCAAACGUUAUUCGGAAUCACUGGGCUUAAAGCGUCCGUAGGCGGCUCGGAAAGUAGGGUGUGAAAUCCCACGGCUCAACCGUGGAAUUGCGCUCUAAACUAUCGAGCUAGAGGGAGAUAGAGGUGAGCGGAACUGAUGGUGGAGCGGUGAAAUGCGUUGAUAUCAUCAGGAACACCGGUGGCGAAGGCGGCAUCCUGGACCGGCAUUGACGCUGAGGAGCGAAAGCUAGGGGAGCAAACGGG
RNAcentral lists this ribosomal RNA (253 nucleotides) under uncultured bacterium. RNAcentral describes it as "partial 16S ribosomal RNA". It matches the Rfam family "Bacterial small subunit ribosomal RNA", at positions 524 to 776 of the family's 1533-position model. The record is from RNAcentral.